Molecule: RNA transcript, 3220 nt
Organism: Daucus carota subsp. sativus
Lineage: Eukaryota; Viridiplantae; Streptophyta; Magnoliopsida; Apiales; Apiaceae
Gene name: alpha-1,4 glucan phosphorylase L-2 isozyme, chloroplastic/amyloplastic
Exons: 16
Source: RefSeq, a predicted model, not a curated record
ACCGAACACCAAGAUAUUUAUUUCUCCAACUAAGAAAGCGCACUAUUUGCAGCAGAAGUAGAUAAGAAGAAGACAAGCCACCCUCUAAGCUCUUUCUCAUCCCCAUACUCAUAAUCAUCAUCUCAAACACUUCAUGGCAACUAAAACACACUCCCACGUUUUCACACACUUCAGUUUCACAGCUACUAGAGCUAGUCACUUGAGUUCACGUAGGUACAUUCGAGUUUCCGACAGGGAUUCUUCCAGAAGCUUCGUGAUCAGCAAUGUGCUCAGUAAUCCGCAUCAGAAACUCCAACAGAGUUCUAGUCAAGAUGGUAUUGGAGAUGCUUUGGACAGAUUUGAUCCGGAUGCUGCAUCUGUUUCAUCAAGUAUCAAGUAUCACGCAGAAAUGACGCCCUCAUUCGCUCCAGAGAAGUUUGAGCUUCCCAAGGCGUUUUAUGCAACUGCAGAAAGUGUUCGGGAUAUGCUUAUUGUAAAUUGGAAUGCCACUUAUAAGUACUAUGAGAAGAUAAACGUAAAGCAGGCAUAUUAUUUGUCUAUGGAGUUUCUUCAGGGUAGAGCGUUGCUUAAUUCUAUCGGAAAUUUAGAGCUCUCAGGGGCAUAUGCAGAGGCUUUGACAAAGCUUGGACAUAAACUAGAAGAUGUAGCAAAGCAGGAACCAGAUGCAGCACUUGGGAAUGGGGGUUUAGGACGGCUUGCAUCCUGCUUCUUGGAUUCCUUGGCCACUCUUAAUUACCCUGCAUGGGGUUACGGUCUUAGAUAUAGAUAUGGACUGUUCAAACAGCUCAUUACAAAAGAUGGACAGGAAGAAGUUGCGGAAAGUUGGCUUGAGAUGGGCAGUCCCUGGGAGAUUGUUAGAAACGAUGUGUCUUAUCCUGUAAAGUUCUAUGGAGAAGUCAUUUCCGGACCUGAUGGAAAGAAAGAAUGGGUUGGGGGAGAGGAUAUCACUGUUGUUGCCUAUGAUGUUCCUAUACCAGGAUAUAAAACCAAAACUACCAUAAACCUUCGAUUAUGGUCAACAAAAGUUGCUUCAUCAGAGUUCGACUUGAAAGCUUAUAAUGCUGGUGAGCAUGCUAAAGCAUAUGAGGCUCUUAAAAAGGCUGAAAAGAUAUGCUACGUUUUGUACCCUGGUGAUGAAUCACAUGAAGGGAAGACUCUUAGAUUAAAGCAGCAAUAUACAUUAUGUUCUGCUUCUCUUCAAGAUAUCAUUGCUCAGUUCGAAAGGAGGUCAGGGGAGGCAAUUAACUGGAAUAACUUUGCUGAAAAGGUUGCAGUGCAAAUGAAUGAUACCCACCCCACACUCUGCAUACCUGAGCUCAUAAGAAUUUUAAUGGAUUUGAAAGGACUGAGCUGGACCGAAGCUUGGAAUAUCACUCAAAGAACUGUGGCAUAUACAAAUCACACUGUCCUGCCAGAGGCUUUAGAGAAAUGGAGUUUAAACCUUCUGAAAGAAUUGCUUCCUCGACAUAUUGAGAUUAUAGAAUUAAUUGACAAGGAGCUGAUUGAUACUAUAAUUUAUAAGUACGGUACUGAGGAUCUUGAAUUGCUGCAAGAAAAAUUUAAAGAAAUGAGGAUUUUGGAUAAUAUUGAAUUACCUUCCUCCAUCUUAGAACUGCUUGUUAAACCUGAAGAAAGCACCAUAAUUACUCUGGAAGCAGAUGGUGAAAUUUCUGAAGUAGAACCUGAAGGGCAGGAUUCAAACAUAAGUGAUACUGACAAGAAGAUAAAGGUAACAUUUGAGCCAGAUCUGCAGCUGCCAAAGCUGGUUCGAAUGGCAAACUUAUGUGUUGUCUCCGGGCAUGCAGUGAAUGGAGUUGCUGAGAUUCAUAGUGAGAUAGUUAAGAAAGAAGUGUUUAAUGAAUUUUACAAGUUGUGGCCUGAGAAAUUUCAAAACAAGACUAAUGGGGUCACACCAAGAAGAUGGAUACGUUUCUGCAAUCCAGAGUUAAGUAAAAUCAUUACCAAGUGGAUAGGAACAGAAGACUGGGUGUUAAAUACAGACAAAUUGGCAGAACUUAGAAAGUUUGCAGAUAAUGACAAGCUUCAAUCUGAAUGGAAGGAAGCAAAACGGCUAGCUAAGGAGAUUGUUGUAUCCUUCAUUAAGGAUAAAACCGGAUAUGUUGUCAGUCCUGAUGCAAUGUUUGACAUUCAGGUCAAGCGCAUCCAUGAGUACAAGAGACAACUAUUAAAUAUUCUGGGAAUUGUUUAUCGGUAUAAAAAAAUGAAAGAAAUGAGCCCUGAAGAGAGGGUAUUGAAAUAUGUUCCGAGAGUGUGCAUAUUUGGGGGAAAAGCAUUUGCAACAUAUGUCCAAGCAAAGAGAAUUGUUAAAUUCAUCACAGAUGUUGGCGCAACCAUAAACCAUGAUGCUGAAAUUGGUGAUCUUUUAAAGGUUGUUUUUGUCCCAGAUUACAACGUCAGUGUUGCGGAGGUGCUUAUUCCUGGCAGUGAGCUGUCCCAACAUAUAAGCACUGCUGGAAUGGAAGCAAGUGGAACUAGCAAUAUGAAAUUCGCAAUGAAUGGUUGUCUUCUUAUUGGAACCUUGGAUGGAGCCAAUGUUGAAAUUAGGGAGGAGGUUGGAGAUGAAAACUUUUUUCUUUUUGGUGCUGAAGCUCAUGAGAUUGCUGAUCUAAGGAAGGAAAGAGCUGAUGGGAAGUUUGUGCCGGAUCCGCGAUUUGAGGAAGUUAAAGCAUUUGUCAGAAGUGGUGUCUUUGGUGCCAACUAUGAUGAACUAAUGGGAUCCUUGGAAGGAAAUGAAGGCUAUGGCCGCGCUGAUUAUUUCCUUGUUGGGAAGGAUUUCCCUAGUUAUGUUGAGUGCCAAGAGCAGGUUGAUGAGGCAUACCGAGAUCAGAAAAAAUGGACUAAAAUGUCGAUCCUGAACACAGCUGGUUCUUUCAAGUUCAGCAGUGACAGAACAAUUCAUCAGUACGCCAAAGACAUAUGGAAGAUUGAGCCUGUUGCAUUACAGUAAUCGUGGUAGUCAUUUUACUUUUAUGUAUCAUAGAAGGUAUAAGAAACCCCAGCUUUGCGCAGAACUGAAGGCCCUCCUCUGAAUUCCUCUGCUGUUUAAAAAUCUUGUACUGUUUGCAAGUAAUCGGGUUUAAACUUUACUCAGUGGUCUGCUAAUCUAUCGUCGCAUUUCUAGGCCAUGUCAAAUAGCUAGUAGCUCACCCUGUUAGAAUGGUGCCCAUCCUACGCCUUGCCAUGUAUAUUUAAUCCGAAU